GACGAACGCUGGCGGCGUGCCUAACACAUGCCAGUCGAACGGAAAGGCCCUGCUUUUGUGGGGUGCUCGAGUGGCGAACGGGUGAGUAACACGUGAGUAACCUGCCCUUGACUUUGGGAUAACUUCAGGAAACUGGGGCUAAUACCGGAUAGGAGCUCCUGCUGCAUGGUGGGGGUUGGAAAGUUUCGGCGGUUGGGGAUGGACUCGCGGCUUAUCAGCUUGUUGGUGGGGUAGUGGCUUACCAAGGCUUUGACGGGUAGCCGGCCUGAGAGGGUGACCGGCCACAUUGGGACUGAGAUACGGCCCAGACUCCUACGGGAGGCAGCAGUGGGGAAUAUUGCACAAUGGGCGGAAGCCUGAUGCAGCAACGCCGCGUGCGGGAUGACGGCCUUCGGGUUGUAAACCGCCUUCGCCUGUGACGAAGCGUGAGUGACGGUAAUGGGUAAAGAAGCACCGGCUAACUACGUG
Molecule: ribosomal RNA, 468 nt
Filed under: uncultured bacterium
Lineage: Bacteria
Description: partial 16S ribosomal RNA
Rfam family: Bacterial small subunit ribosomal RNA
Source: RNAcentral